AUGCCAAGGCCACACAAGUGGAUCCCGCCGGAAGACGAUGCAGUGAAGAUCAAUGUAGACGGUGCCAUCUCCCGCCAAGGAGGAACUGGUGCAGCGGCUGCUGUUUGUCGGGAUAAGGAGGGCAACUAUUUGGGAGCCUCGGCGAUGGUUUUAGAUGGCCUAGUCAGCGCCCCAAGCCUGGAAGCUCAAGCGUGCAAUGAGGCGCUUGCUUUGGCUCAAGACCUUCUCUUGACACAUGUGAUAAUAGCCUCGGAUUGCAUGCAGGUUGUUGCGGAUAUCAACGGAACUUCGCCCUCUUCUUCAUAUGCUUUUGUAAUUCAGGAGAUUAAAGCUCGAGCCAUGAACUUUGCUAGAGUUAGUUUUCGUUUUGAAAGUAGAGAGGCAAACUAUGAGGCUCAUGCCUUGGCAAAGGCAGCCUCGUCUCUCUCUACGGGGCGCCACGUGUGGCUAGGGAACCUGCCAGACAUUAUUUGUAUUCCUUCGGCUUUGGUUUAUCAAUAA
This 501-nucleotide ribosomal RNA is filed under the name Triticum aestivum (bread wheat). RNAcentral's name for it is "partial small subunit ribosomal RNA". Lineage: Eukaryota; Viridiplantae; Streptophyta; Magnoliopsida; Poales; Poaceae. The record is from RNAcentral.